Equus caballus (horse) is the source of this 1129-nucleotide long non-coding RNA. RefSeq lists it as uncharacterized. Lineage: Eukaryota; Metazoa; Chordata; Mammalia; Perissodactyla; Equidae. The record is from RefSeq and is a predicted model, not a curated record.
UGUAAUUUUUUUAUUGAAAGAUAGACAUGAUGCACUGGGUAAAAGGAACUGUGGUAAUUAGGCCUUUACUUGUGUAGUUAUAAUGUGCGGGGCAAAGCAAGUGUUCUGUAGUCCUAUGAUGAGGCCUCAGUCUUCUGGUGAACCUGUGCCCCUGAGCUGUGAAUGUCACUGGUGCUUCUCAGCGCCCCCACCCCCCACUUAGGUGGAACAGGAUGGCUAGAGUGAGCUAGAGUUGGGUAUUUCCUUUUCUACAGGUAGGUUGGGCUCUGGUAAAACAGUUUCUCCUGAGGGUAGGCUUUGGUAAGAAGAACAGAAUGCUCUAGUGUUUUUCAAAAUAUUUACUCUUCCUCUUUCUCUGUGGAAGAGUAUGCGGACGUAUGAGAGAAUUUUCACCAAUCUUUACUGUGAGUACCUGUUAGAGCUCCUGGAGGUAAAACUCAUGACAAUGUGGGCCCCACAUCCCCUGAUGACUGGGUCCCUGGAGUUUCAUCUCUAAGGCUUGUCCACACUGAGGCUCUAGCAAUUCAUCAGUCACAGUUCAGAGUUUCCUGCCCCGGAACUGGUUCCUAAGGAGGUUUCUGCUUGGUGGUUUCUACUCAGGUCGGAUGCUCCAGUGUCCUCCAGGAGGCAGAGCAGGAACCAGAAUGUCCUUGCACAGACAUGGCUUCCUUCCUCCUUGGGAGCCCACAGCAGGAGCUUGUUCUGUCCCAUUCCAGUUUCAAAAUAACAGUACAAUGCAACCCCAACACUACGAUGACUGAAAAAUACUUAAUUUACUUUUUUCUGUUUUCCCUUGCAGUUCUUUUUAUCUUUGGGGUAUAUUCCACUAGAGAGAUGCAGGCAAAUUACUGUGCUUUAAAGUCAUUUGGAAUAAUUCCUCUCUGUGCAAUUAUGCUACCAGCUGGAGACACGUUUAGAUUUAUUAGUUCUAUUUUAUUUGUUCUUAGCUGUCUUUUUCCCUGGUUGUCUCCAGUAAACUAGCUGGCCUAGUGGUUUAGCUUGUUGUUGUCAUGGAGCCACAAGCCUGCUCUCAAUUGCUUACCACCUACCUCUCUGCUGUUUCUGAGAGCAUCUUCUGGCUUCAGCUUCCCCCACACUGUUCCAAAUAAAAAGUCAAUUCCUUUGAAAA